Molecule: long non-coding RNA, 1070 nt
Organism: Pomacea canaliculata
Lineage: Eukaryota; Metazoa; Mollusca; Gastropoda; Architaenioglossa; Ampullariidae
Exons: 4
Source: RefSeq, a predicted model, not a curated record
AUAUCUGUAGUUGCACUGUGUGCAGUGGCAAAGUAGUUUCCCAGAAAAGCAGACGACCGGUUGUAAAGGUUGUGUUGAUGACUUACUCGACAUUAAUGAUCGUGGAAUAUCAAAAUUUGUGGCCUUGAAUUGGUCGGAUAUUUCACAUAGGAUGUGGAAGGGAAAGAGCACUCAUCUCAUGCGGGGAGACCUAUUUUUAGCCCAGUGGAAAUAACAGAAAAUGUGUGCAUACCUCACGUGACCGCUGACGUCACACCGAAACAUUUCCCAGAAAUGGAGUCAACGGAAAGCGAUCCCUGCCACAUUUUGAUCAUGGAACCUCAAAGUCUGUGGUUUGCGAAUAGUAAAAUAUGUGAUAAAGGUUCUUAAGCAAGACGACAUGACAGGAAGCUUCUAGGCAACAACUGAAACAACAUUAGAAAAUAUAUUCUGUGAGCAAGCGUGCAAACGAAGAACUGUUCGUCAAAACUAAUAAAAGCCUCUUAUAAGAAAAAGCUGAGGAAGACUUCUCCGACCAACAAGGGCAGACUUCAGUGACCUACGAUCUUCGAAAAGCAGUCCAGAGCUUACAUCUGUUGAUGAGGGGUAUCAUCAGUUAAACAAAUGGACAUGGUAGAAGCAGAAGAAUUUUAAAUGUUCCUCUUUCAGAGACAGGUGGAAUUAGGUGCAGGAAAGAGUAGGGAAGAAAAAGAACUCUGAAAACUUGUUUGUGAUCUUUGUUUUCCAUGAGCAGGACUUGCUUUUCUUGCCAGCAGAAAACUUGAAAGUCAUUCAUGUGUGUCCGUGCUUAUUGUGGGAAUUUCCUCUAGAUAUACUGUUUAAAAGUCGAUUCCCAACGAUAAGUUUCAAACUACGAUCCGAGGCUAAGACUGAUGUUAGAUUCUCAGGUGUAUUUAUUACAUUUUGUGUCAUUACAUUUAAAUAUGGUUUCAUAUGCUUGUCUCUUAUCAUAAGAUAUAUAUAAAGAGAAAGAGAGAUCUGAAAUAUUUUUGAUGAUAUACAAUCUGUUAAGAGUACUGAUUUUGUGCAGGAAGUAGAUGUGUCUACUAAAUAAAUAUUGGUUUCCGCAG